This 462-nucleotide ribosomal RNA is filed under the name uncultured bacterium. RNAcentral's name for it is "bacterial SSU rRNA". It matches the Rfam family "Bacterial small subunit ribosomal RNA", at positions 917 to 1382 of the family's 1533-position model. The record is from RNAcentral.
GGGCCCGCACAAGCAGCGGAGCAUGUGGUUUAAUUCGAAGCAACGCGAAGAACCUUACCAGGGCUUGACAUCUCCUGAAUACCCUAGAGAUAGGGGAAGCCCCUCGGGGCAGGAAGACAGGUGGUGCAUGGUUGUCGUCAGCUCGUGUCGUGAGAUGUUGGGUUAAGUCCCGCAACGAGCGCAACCCUUGUCAUUAGUUGCUAACAUUAAGGUGAGCACUCUAAUGAGACUGCCGGGGACAACUCGGAGGAAGGUGGGGAUGACGUCAAAUCAUCAUGCCCCUUAUGUCCUGGGCUACACACGUGCUACAAUGGCUAGAACAAAGAGAAGCGAAACAGUGAUGUGGAGCAAAUCUUAAAAACUAGUCCCAGUUCGGAUUGAUGGCUGCAACCCGCCAUCAUGAAGCCGGAGUUGCUAGUAAUCGCGAAUCAGCAUGUCGCGGUGAAUACGUUCCCGGGCCUU